Molecule: ribosomal RNA, 468 nt
Filed under: uncultured bacterium
Lineage: Bacteria
Description: partial 16S ribosomal RNA
Rfam family: Bacterial small subunit ribosomal RNA
Source: RNAcentral
GACGAACGCUGGCGGCGUGCCUAACACAUGCAAGUCGAACGGAAAGGCCCUGCUUUUGUGGGGUGCUCGAGUGCCGAACGGGUGAGUAACACGUGUGUAACCUGCCCUUGACUUUGGGAUAACUUCAGGAAACUGGGGCUAAUAUCGGAUAGGAUCUCCUGCUCCAUGGUGGGCGUUGGAAAGUUUCGGCGGUUGGGGAUGGACUGGCGGCUUAUCAGCUUGUUGGUGGGGUAGUGGCAUACCAAGGCUUUGACGGGUAGCCGGCCUGAGAGGGGAGACGGCCACAAGAGGACUGAGAGACGGACCAGACGCGAAUGGGAGGCAGCGGUGGGGAGUAUGACACAGUGGGCGGGAGCGUGAUGCGGCGACGCCGCGUGCGGAAUGACGGCCUUCGGGUUGUAAACCGCUUUCGCCUGAGACGAAGCGGUAGUGACGGUAAUGGGUGAAGAAGCACCGGCUAACUACGUG